This 363-nucleotide ribosomal RNA is filed under the name Austropurcellia absens. RNAcentral describes it as "partial 12S ribosomal RNA". The record is from RNAcentral. Lineage: Eukaryota; Metazoa; Arthropoda; Arachnida; Opiliones; Pettalidae.
UAAACUAGGGAUUAGAUACCCUAUUAUUCUAAAUUUAAUUAUAAAAUGACGAGUUUUAUGAGUUAAUAAAAUUGGCGGUUUUUUUACUUUUUAGAGGAGUUUGUUUCAUAAAGGAUAUUACCCCAACUAAUUUACUAUAAUUUAAGAUUUUUAUAUCGCUGUUGUUAAAAUAUUAUUGAGUUCAAAUAUUUGAAAUUUAAUUUAUAAUGUACUUCAAGUCAAGAUGAAAUUAUAUUAUAGGGAAAAUGAACUACAAUAAAUAAUUUUAAUACGGAACUUAAAUUUUAAAUUUUUGUGAAGGUGGAUUUAAUAGUAAAUUUUAUAAUAAUUUGAAUUAAGUUCAAAAGGAUGUACAUAUCGCCC